Molecule: ribosomal RNA, 768 nt
Filed under: uncultured archaeon
Lineage: Archaea
Description: bacterial SSU rRNA
Rfam family: Archaeal small subunit ribosomal RNA
Source: RNAcentral
CGGUUGAUCCUGCCGGAGGUUACUGCUGUCGGUGUUUGCCUAAGCCAUGCGAGUCAAAUGUUCUUCGUGAACAUGGCGUACUGCUCAGUAACACGUGGAUAACCUGCCCUCAGGUCUGGCAUAACCCCGGGAAACUGGGGAUAAUUCCGGAUAACGCAUAUAUGCUGGAAUGCUUUAUGCGUCAAAGGUCCUCCGCCUGAGGAUGGGUCUGCGGCCUAUCAGGUAGUAGCGGGUGUAAUGUACCUGCUAGCCGACGACGGGUACGGGUUGUGAGAGCAAGAGCCCGGAGAUGGAUUCUGAGACAUGAAUCCAGGCCCUACGGGGCGCAGCAGGCGCGAAAACUUUACAAUGCGGGCAACCGUGAUAAGGGGACACCGAGUGCCAGCAACAUUUGCUGGCUGUCCACGUGCGUAAAAUGCACGUGUUAGCAAGGGCCGGGCAAGACCGGUGCCAGCCGCCGCGGUAACACCGGCGGCCCGAGUGGUGAUCGUUAUUAUUGGGUCUAAAGGGUCCGUAGCCGGUUUGGUCAGUCUUCCGGGAAAUCUGUCAGCUCAACUGAUAGGCUAUCGGGGGAUACUGCUAGACUUGGAACCGGGAGAGGUAAGAGGUAUUACAGGGGUAGGAGUGAAAUCUUGUAAUCCCUGUGGGACCACCUGUGGCGAAGGANUCUUACCAGAACGGGUUCGACGGUGAGGGACGAAAGCUGGGGGCACGAACCGGAUUAGAUACCCGGGUAGUCCCAGCCGUAAACGAUGCUCGCUAGGUGUC